Molecule: transfer RNA, 75 nt
Filed under: Enterococcus faecium E980
Lineage: Bacteria; Bacillati; Bacillota; Bacilli; Lactobacillales; Enterococcaceae
Also listed under: 3 other names
Description: tRNA-Ile
Rfam family: tRNA
About the family: Transfer RNA (tRNA) molecules are approximately 80 nucleotides in length. Their secondary structure includes four short double-helical elements and three loops (D, anti-codon, and T loops).
Source: RNAcentral
UGGGCCUAUAGCUCAGCUGGUUAGAGCGCACGCCUGAUAAGCGUGAGGUCGAUGGUUCGAGUCCAUUUAGGCCCA